GCAGGGGAUCGCAAGACCUUGCGCUGAUUGAGCGGCCGAUAUCAGAUUAGCUUGUUGGUGAGGUGAAAGCUCACCAAGGCGACGAUCUGUAGCGGGUCUGAGAGGAUGAUCCGCCACACUGGAACUGAGACACGGUCCAGACUCCUACGGGAGGCAGCAGUGGGGAAUUUUGGACAAUGGGGGCAACCCUGAUCCAGCCAUGCCGCGUGAGUGAAGAAGGCCUUCGGGUUGUAAAGCUCUUUCAGCCGGGAAGAAAACGCAUGGGUUAAUACCCUGUGUGGACGACGGUACCGGAAUAAGAAGCACCGGCUAACUACGUGCCAGCAGCCGCGGUAAUACGUAGGGUGCGAGCGUUAAUCGGAAUUACUGGGCGUAAAGCGUGCGCAGGCGGUUUUGUAAGACAGGCGUGAAAUCCCCGGGCUUAACCUGGGAACUGCGUUUGUGACUGCAAGGCUAGAGUACGGCAGAGGGGGGUGGAAUUCCACGUGUAGCAGUGAAAUGCGUAGAGAUGUGGAGGAACACCAAUGGCGAAGGCAGCCCCCUGGGUCGAUACUGACGCUCAUGCACGAAAGCGUGGGUAGCAAACAGGAUUAGAUACCCUGGUAGUCCACGCCCUAAACGAUGUCAACUAGGUGUUGGGAGGGUAAAACCUUUUAGUACCGGAGCUAACGCGUGAAGUUGACCGCCUGGGGAGUACGGCCGCAAGGUUAAAACUCAAAGGGAUUGACGGGGACCCGCACAAGCGGUGGAUGAUGUGGAUUAAUUCGAUGCAACGCGAAAAACCUUACCUACCCUUGACAUGCCAAGAACUUUCCAGAGAUGGAUUGGUGCCCGAAAGGGAACUUGGACACAGGUGCUGCAUGGCUGUCGUCAGCUCGUGUCGUGAGAUGUUGGGUUAAGUCCCGCAACUAGCGCAACCCUUGUCGUUAAUUGCCAUCAUUUAGUUGGGCACUUUAACGAGACUGCCGGUGACAAACCGGAGGAAGGUGGGGAUGACGUCAAGUCCUCAUGGCCCUUAUGGGUAGGGCUUCACACGUCAUACAAUGGUCGGUACAAAGGGUCGCCAAGCCGCGAGGUGGAGCCAAUCCCAGAAAGCCGAUCGUAGUCCGGAUCGCAGUCUGCAACUCGACUGCGUGAAGUCGGAAUCGCUAGUAAUCGUGGAUCAGAAUGUCACGGUGAAUACGUUCCCGGGUCUUGUACACACCGCCCGUCACACCAUGGGAGCGGGUUCCGCCAGAAGUAGGUAGCCUAACCGCAAGGAGAGCGCUUACCACGGCGGGGUUCGUGACUGGGAUGAAGUCGGAACAAGGUA
This 1312-nucleotide ribosomal RNA is filed under the name metagenome. Its description in RNAcentral is "bacterial SSU rRNA". It matches the Rfam family "Bacterial small subunit ribosomal RNA", at positions 196 to 1498 of the family's 1533-position model. The record is from RNAcentral.